CCCUUAGAUGUUCUGGGCCGCACGCGUGCUACACUGAGUGGAUCAGCGGGUCAGGUUGCGCGAAAGCGUUUCCUAAUCUUUAAAUCCGCUCGUGAUGGGGAUUGACGGUUGCAAUUUUCUGUCAUGAACGAGGAAUACCUGGUAAGCGCGGGUCAUCAUCCCGCGCUGAAUACGUCCCUGCCCUUUGUACACACCGCCCGUCGCUCCUACCGAUUGAGUGGUCCGGUGAGGCUUUGGGAUCUGAGCGGAAAGAGCGUUUCGCUGUUUCUGCUCGGAAAACUCAGUCGAACCUUAUCAUUUAGAGGAAGGAGAAGUCGUAACA
Molecule: ribosomal RNA, 322 nt
Filed under: uncultured eukaryote
Lineage: Eukaryota
Description: partial 18S ribosomal RNA
Rfam family: Eukaryotic small subunit ribosomal RNA
Source: RNAcentral